This 229-nucleotide ribosomal RNA is filed under the name Enterococcus gallinarum. RNAcentral's name for it is "partial 23S ribosomal RNA". It matches the Rfam family "Bacterial large subunit ribosomal RNA", at positions 1099 to 1330 of the family's 2925-position model. Lineage: Bacteria; Bacillati; Bacillota; Bacilli; Lactobacillales; Enterococcaceae. The record is from RNAcentral.
UGUUGGCUUAGAAGCAGCCACCAUUUAAAGAGUGCGUAAUAGCUCACUAGUCGAGUGACCCUGCGCCGAAAAUGUACCGGGGCUAAAUAGUUUACCGAAGCUGUGGAGUGCACCGUAAGGUGCAUUGGUAGGAGAGCGUUCUAAGGGCGUUGAAGGUAGAUCGUGAGGACUACUGGAGCGCUUAGAAGUGAGAAUGCCGGUAUGAGUAGCGAAAGACAGGUGAGAAUCC